UACCAUAAAAUAGAGUAUCUGACUUGAAUUUUUACUACUCCAUAUGUAAGCAAGUACGUAUUACAAGUCCACGCCGAAUGCCAAACAUUCCUAUUUAAUCAUAUCAAUAAUUGAAAUGCAAAACCCAUCACACAUCCAUCACUAAUUACAUAAAUAUUUCAAGUAGAAUCACAUUGAAAUUUGAAAAUGAUGGAUAAUUUCUAUAUUAACCAACUGAAGCACAAGCUAGCUAGUAAUGUAGCACAGUGAUAUUAGAUCGGGUGACUGAAUAGCCGCUCACGGGAUCAUAGGAAAGAAUCUCGUACGUAGCGUAACCGCGG
This 320-nucleotide long non-coding RNA is filed under the name Salvia miltiorrhiza (redroot sage). RNAcentral's name for it is "long non-coding RNA (SMIL_LNC009869)". Lineage: Eukaryota; Viridiplantae; Streptophyta; Magnoliopsida; Lamiales; Lamiaceae. The record is from RNAcentral.